GACGAACGCUGGCGGCGUGCCUAAUACAUGCAAGUUGAGCGCUGAAGGUUGGUACUUGUACCAACUGGAUGAGCAGCGAACGGGUGAGUAACGCGUGGGGAAUCUGCCUUUGAGCGGGGGACAACAUUUGGAAACGAAUGCUAAUACCGCAUAAAAACUUUAAACACAAGUUUUAAGUUUGAAAGAUGCAGUUGCAUCACUCAAAGAUGAUCCCGCGUUGUAUUAGCUAGUUGGUGAGGUAAAGGCUCACCAAGGCGAUGAUACAUAGCCGACCUGAGAGGGUGAUCGGCCACAUUGGGACUGAGACACGGCCCAAACUCCUACGGGAGGCAGCAGUAGGGAAUCUUCGGCAAUGGACGAAAGUCUGACCGAGCAACGCCGCGUGAGUGAAGAAGGUUUUCGGAUCGUAAAACUCUGUUGGUAGAGAAGAACGUUGGUAAGAGUGGAAAGCUCAUCAAGUGACGGUAACUACCCAGAAAGGGACGGCUAACUACGUG
Molecule: ribosomal RNA, 497 nt
Filed under: uncultured bacterium
Lineage: Bacteria
Description: partial 16S ribosomal RNA
Rfam family: Bacterial small subunit ribosomal RNA
Source: RNAcentral